GUUGAUUACCGGGCACUUAACAACAUCACACGCAAGGACGUAUCUCACAAGACCCAAGAUUGCGUCUACUGAUAAAGGUGCCCCGCGCAUCGUGUUGGAGUUCCCCAGCACGCACCCCCCUUCUGCUGGGUACGACGUCCACGCAUCAACUCAGCUGGCCGCCAGCUGUUGUAAUGCUGCAUACUACAAUAAAUAACUGCUUAAUAUGCCAAACUUUA
Molecule: long non-coding RNA, 218 nt
Organism: Rhipicephalus microplus (southern cattle tick)
Lineage: Eukaryota; Metazoa; Arthropoda; Arachnida; Ixodida; Ixodidae
Source: RefSeq, a predicted model, not a curated record